Long non-coding RNA from Chinchilla lanigera (long-tailed chinchilla), 1617 nucleotides. NCBI's taxonomy places the organism in Eukaryota, Metazoa, Chordata, Mammalia, Rodentia, Chinchillidae. The record is from Ensembl.
CUGCUGUGUCAUGAACAAAGAAAUGAAGAAUCAGUGUGUCUCUCCCCACCAGGAGUCCAGUGAAGGCUCAGCCCCUAUCUACAGCACUUCUUUGAAUACCACAUCAGAAAGGAGUUUCCUUGUGAAAUCAAGAACCUUCCUCAGCAAAUGCAAAGAAGCAGAGACAGAGUACCAUGUUAUGGAUCUUUGGACUGUAUUUGCCACAGCUUUUCCAGCUUCAGAUCAAAGGGGCACACGACAGGAAUUUCAGAUGUGGACAACUGUAAGCAUAUCAGAGAGCGGCAGAGUAAUAUACGUGCUGAAUGACCAUACCCUGCUCUUUCUGUGAUCAUUGCCUGUGAUCCACGGCUGUCCUUCUUGUGCUGGAUGCAGCAAGUAACACAUGGCCCUGCCCUGUGAUGAACCAGGAGCUCCAAAAAGAAGAGCAUAGUGAGCAAGGUGUGCAGUGAUAAGGAAGUGAUGUCUAGGCUGUUGACGGGACAACAUGCCAGUAUAGUAUUCUCCUGGCAGUAUGACUUGUGUGUGUAUUCAGACAGACCAAACAUUUCCUCCCACUUUUUACCCUCAAGCCUGAUAGUAGUUAUAUAAAAAUAGUUCUUUUUCCUUUUCUGGAAAACAAAUUGAACUUUCUUCUUUGCAGAAGACUGCACAUAUAGAAUGAAAUGAAGUGAAACGCAAUGAGGUGAAAGGAAACAAGCUAUAGAACACAUAGAUCAGAGCCUAGAACCCAGGAACUCCUCAAAUAUGAUUCAUGGAACUGUGAUCACCCUCCGUGCAGAGGGGCUCAAUUUAAGCUUUUGUGGAUGAGAUAUCCACGAAGGACAAGUGUAGGAAGAAAGUGAAUGAGUUAUCUGGGACUCUCAACCCAACACAGGACAUAAGCUUCACACUGCAUAGCUGAAAGUUCUCUGUUAGCAACCAAGACUGUCCUGUUAGUCUCAAUGCAGAGGAAAACAUGUUUCGGAGAGUCCUUUCCCCCUCGGCACUUACUGCAUAAAGCUGCUCCUGUGCUGGGUCAUGGCCAGUGGGUGCAGAUCUGAAGCAACGUCUCUGGCAGGGUAGGAUAGCAGAAAUAAAAACUAGGUGGAAAGGAGAAAAGGAUUAAAAUAGUAGUUAACUGUAGCUUCAAGACACAAAAGUUACUCAAGGUUUUUCCUUUGUAGAAAACUCAUCUCCCAAUACUCCUAAAGGUCUUCAGGACACAUUAAGCCUGUAAAACCAGGCUCUAGGUUUGUGAUUUUCACCUAUAAAUUGCACUUCCUCCACCACCAAGGAAGUAGCAAGACUGAUGGGCACCAGCUCUCAGCGUCAAACCUAUGUAGAUGGCUUACUUGUAUUCUGACAUAAUGUGUUAGAUAUGCACCUGAGAGACAGGAGGAAAAGACGUCCUAGGUCACCUGUUUGAAGACAGACCCUUAAAUAUACAACUCCAGCUCAAAAUGCACCUCAAUUCUCUCAGUGCCUGAAGUCCACUCUUGACAGCACAUAAUAAAAUCUCUGCAUAAUAAACCCUUCUGGUGCACCUCACUGACUCAUAAUGAAAAUUAUUCUUUUGCAAUGAGAGUCAGCAAACCAGCAAACUUAUUCCACAAAGGAACGAUAGGUUCCUUAUUUCAG